AACGCACAUUGCGCCCCUUGGUAUUCCAUGGGGCAUGCCUGUUCGAGCGUCAUAUAUACCCUCAAGCUCUGCUUGGUGUUGGGCGUUGUCUCCACGACUCGCCUCAAAACAAUUUACAAUGGCAGUGGCAUAUGGUGCAGCACAUGUACCUGCCCCGUCCGCUAAAACCUUUUAUUUGACCUCGGAUCAGGUAGGGAUACCCGCUGAACUUAA
RNAcentral lists this unclassified non-coding RNA (213 nucleotides) under uncultured fungus. RNAcentral's name for it is "sequence contains ITS2". The record is from RNAcentral. Lineage: Eukaryota; Fungi.